Molecule: signal recognition particle RNA, 268 nt
Filed under: bacterium
Lineage: Bacteria
Description: signal recognition particle sRNA large type
Rfam family: Bacterial large signal recognition particle RNA
About the family: The signal recognition particle (SRP) is a universally conserved ribonucleoprotein involved in the co-translational targeting of proteins to membranes. Archaeal SRP consists of a 7S RNA and homologues of the eukaryotic SRP19 and SRP54 proteins.
Source: RNAcentral
CCGCGCUAUGCCGGGGAGGUAGCGGUGCCCUGUAGCCCGCGAACCGCUAUAGCGGGGGCGAAUAACCUGUUUGAGAUAGUUUCGUCUGCGGUUGCGGCACAAAUUAGCGGCGUUGAUGGUCGCGUCCUUUACAACGGUGGGCUACGAACCGGGUCAGGUCCUGACGGAAGCAGCCCUAAGUUGAAACUGCCGUGUGUAGAGGGUAGCGUGGCCGGAGUUUGCUAAUAUGUGUUUGCGCCGUGGAUGGGCUCCGAUACAGGUUGCGCGG